This is a long non-coding RNA of Manihot esculenta (cassava), 339 nucleotides long. RefSeq lists it as uncharacterized. The record is from RefSeq and is a predicted model, not a curated record. The transcript is spliced from 3 exons. Lineage: Eukaryota; Viridiplantae; Streptophyta; Magnoliopsida; Malpighiales; Euphorbiaceae.
UAAUACCCAGUCAUCUAACUGUAAAAACAAGACCUUUUUUUAUUUGAUUUAACGAGAUAUUUCAGUGAAAAUGAAAUGGAUGCAAGUAAUAUUGAAGAGAUAGAAAACAGAGAUGCAGGAUUGAGAAAAGAGAAGAUAUCUCAGUGAUUUAACCAAACCAAGCUGGAAGUCAUGGAUCCGAAUGAUGGAAACAAACUCUCUACUAGGGUUUAACCAUGGCAUCUAGCAGUCUAUACUCAUUCAUGAUCCAGUCUGUCUUGGUUCCUUUAGGAGGACGACCCAAGUAAAAAACUAGAGCUUUCUUCACUCCAAUGUUCUUUGAUCCAGAAGAAUUGAGAA